GCUCAGAACGAACGCUGGCGGCAUGCCUAACACAUGCAAGUCGAACGAACCCUUCGGGGUUAGUGGCGCACGGGUGCGUAACGCGUGGGAAUCUGCCCUUUGCUUCGGAAUAACAGUUAGAAAUGACUGCUAAUACCGGAUGAUGUCUUCGGACCAAAGAUUUAUCGGCAAGGGAUGAGCCCGCGUAGGAUUAGGUAGUUGGUGGGGUAAAGGCCUACCAAGCCGACGAUCCUUAGCUGGUCUGAGAGGAUGAUCAGCCACACUGGGACUGAGACACGGCCCAGACUCCUACGGGAGGCAGCAGUGGGGAAUAUUGGACAAUGGGCGCAAGCCUGAUCCAGCAAUGCCGCGUGAGUGAUGAAGGCCUUCGGGUCGUAAAGCUCUUUUACCAGGGAUGAUAAUGACAGUACCUGGAGAAUAAGCUCCGGCUAACUCCGUGCCAGCAGCCGCGGUAAUACGGAGGGAGCUAGCGUUGUUCGGAAUUACUGGGCGUAAAGCGCACGUAGGCGGCUACUCAAGUCAGAGGUGAAAGCCCGGGGCUCAACCCCGGAACUGCCUUUGAAACUAGGUAGCUGGAAUCUUGGAGAGGUCAGUGGAAUUCCGAGUGUAGAGGUGAAAUUCGUAGAUAUUCGGAAGAACACCAGUGGCGAAGGCGACUGACUGGACAAGUAUGAC
Molecule: ribosomal RNA, 675 nt
Filed under: Novosphingobium sp. SMCC G956
Lineage: Bacteria; Pseudomonadati; Pseudomonadota; Alphaproteobacteria; Sphingomonadales; Sphingomonadaceae
Description: bacterial SSU rRNA
Rfam family: Bacterial small subunit ribosomal RNA
Source: RNAcentral